Salvia miltiorrhiza (redroot sage) is the source of this 1429-nucleotide RNA transcript. It is a transcript of the gene named probable ADP-ribosylation factor GTPase-activating protein AGD15, with no coding region annotated. The transcript has 9 exons. NCBI's taxonomy places the organism in Eukaryota, Viridiplantae, Streptophyta, Magnoliopsida, Lamiales, Lamiaceae. The record is from RefSeq and is a predicted model, not a curated record.
UUGAAAAAUCAUUUCCAAAAUUCAGAGGGAGAAAGAGAGACACAACUCUCCUCAAAUCAAUCGUCUCUCUUUCUCUUUCUCCAUCUCUGUUAAUGUGAUUCUUCGUGUUUCUCCCAUUUUUUUCCUUCUUUUCUUUUUUUCCUUUUACAUUUGUAUUUUUCAUUUUCUUUUUCUUUUUUCCUUUGAUUUUUAGUGUGUGUAUUUGUGUGUGAAUCCAUUCGUGACAGACAUAUAUAUUGAGAGCUAUGAAUGAGAAGGCGUUUGUUACCAAAGAGCUCAAUGCCAAACAUGCAAAGAUACUGUUGGGUCUCCUUAAGCUGCCCGAAAACAAGGAAUGUGCAGAUUGCCGGAGCAAGGCUCCACGAUGGGCAAGCAUCAACCUUGGAAUAUUUAUAUGCAUGCGAUGUUCUGGAAUACACCGCAGUCUUGGAGUACACAUCUCGAAGGUAAGGUCUACAACGUUGGACACAUGGCUUCCCGAGCAGGUUGCAUUCAUGCAGGUGAUGGGAAACCAGAAGUCGAACAGCUAUUGGGAAGCAGACUUACCAGCACAGUUCUACAGAAGUCCAAUUGAAACCUUCAUUUAUGCCAAGUACGUGGAUAGAAGAUGGGCUCCAACAACCCCACAGCCAAUCCCAGAGAUCUGUGCAGAAAGCACCUCCACUAGAAAGGAAAUUCCGAAGAAAGCAAGAAGAUACUCUUUGGAUGAAGAAUUUUUCGUCAAGGAAAUGCCCAAAAUUGCUCCUCCAAAAUCACAUUGUCGUGCGGAGUCUUUCAGUUUUAUGGACGCCAUUGAUUCAGCUCCGCCUCUUAUUAGUUUCGAGGGCUGUUCAUCUAGUAAGAAUGUUGAUACUGGUACGGAUCUGUUCAGCCUUCUCUACGUGUCAGAAGAAACACAAGAUCGUACAGUUGUGCCUCCAUCGCGAUGGGCUUCUUUUGAGUGAGCUGAUGCAUCAAUUGGAAUUCUGUUAGAUUCCGAUGAACCACUGCCAUAUACAUUGCAGUGAAUGAGGAAAAAUAUUCAAAGCACACACAAAUAUAUAAGGUCAUGACUUGGAAAUAUAGUGUUGUGUGAUAUCUAAGUUUAUGGACCAUUAUGCUCUACUUGAAGAUAAGUUUGAUGUUUUUAGGUAUAUUAAAUGCCCAUUUAUUUCAUUUUCCGACCUGUUAGAUUAGAUAUUUACGGAGAAUACAUGUAAAGAAAGACUUACAAUUGACUCAGACAUCCAAAAGUCAUUGAUUUAUCAUUUUGGACAUUUCUUCCCAACUUCAGAUUAAAAAUUAAAUAAAAACAAGUAGGAGAGUGUUUGUUGAUCAAGACUUAAGCGAAACAUAUUCAAGAAAUAGGUGACUUAAACAUAUACAUCACAUUGUUCAAAGUCAGUAGUGAAAGUAUUUGUUGAAUAAUCGUUUUCAGUUGAAUUGGUAA